RNAcentral lists this ribosomal RNA (460 nucleotides) under uncultured bacterium. RNAcentral's name for it is "partial 16S ribosomal RNA". It matches the Rfam family "Bacterial small subunit ribosomal RNA", at positions 338 to 795 of the family's 1533-position model. The record is from RNAcentral.
CCUACGGGAGGCAGCAGUGAGGAAUAUUGGUCAAUGGACGAGAGUCUGAACCAGCCAAGUAGCGUGAAGGAUGACUGCCCUAUGGGUUGUAAACUUCUUUUAUAAAGGAAUAAAACGAGGCACGUGUGCCUUUUUGCAUGUACUUUAUGAAUAAGGAUCGGCUAACUCUGUGCCAGCAGCCGCGGUAAUACGGAGGAUCCGAGCGUUAUCCGGGUUUAUUGGGUUUAAAGGGAGCGUAGAUGGGUUGUUAAGUCAGUUGUGAAAGUUUGCGGCUCAACCGUAAAAUUGCAAUUGAUACUGGCAGUCUUGAGUACAGUUGAGGUAGGCGGAAUUCGUGGUGUAGCAGUGAAAUGCUUAGAUAUCACGAAGAACCCCGAUUGCGAAGGCAGCUUACUAAACUGUGACUGACAUUGAUGCUCGAAAGUGUGGGUAUCAAACAGGAUUAGAUACCCUUGUAGUC